GUCAGGAUGGCCGAGCGGUCUAAGGCGCUGCGUUCAGGUCGCAGUCCAGUACUCUGGGCAAGGUUUCGAAUCCCUCUUCUGACA
Molecule: non-coding RNA, 84 nt
Organism: Daphnia pulex (common water flea)
Lineage: Eukaryota; Metazoa; Arthropoda; Branchiopoda; Diplostraca; Daphniidae
Source: Rfam